RNAcentral lists this ribosomal RNA (1231 nucleotides) under Noccaea caerulescens. RNAcentral's name for it is "bacterial LSU rRNA". It matches the Rfam family "Bacterial large subunit ribosomal RNA", at positions 1220 to 2450 of the family's 2925-position model. The record is from RNAcentral. Lineage: Eukaryota; Viridiplantae; Streptophyta; Magnoliopsida; Brassicales; Brassicaceae.
CACAUAUGGUAGGAGAGCGUUCCGUAAGCCUGAGAAGGUGUCUUGUAAAGGAUGCUGGAGGUAUCGGAAGUGCGAAUGCUGACAUGAGUAGCGAUAAAGAGGGUGAAAAGCCCUCUCGCCGAAAGCCCAAGGUUUCCUGUUCAACGUUCAUCGGAGCAGGGUGAGUCGGCCCCUAAGGCGAGGCAGAGAUGCGUAGCUGAUGGGAAGCAGGUUAAUAUUCCUGCACCGUCGUAUGAUGCGAUGGGGGGACGGAUCGCGGAAGGUUGUCCAGCUGUUGGAAUAGCUGGUUUUUGACUCAUAGAAGGUGCUUAGGCAAAUCCGGGCACGUAAUUCAAGGGGUCGAGACGUGUGUCCUUGUGACACGAAGCAAUCGGAAGUGGUUCCAAGAAAAGCCUCUAAGCUUCAGUCAUACGAGACCGUACCGCAAACCGACACAGGUGGGCGAGAUGAGUAUUCUAAGGCGCUUGAGAGAACUCGGGAGAAGGAACUCGGCAAAUUGGUACCGUAACUUCGGGAUAAGGUACGCCCCGGUAGCUUGAUUGGUUUACUCCAUGAGGGUGAAAGGGUUGCAAUAAACUGGUGGCUGCGACUGUUUAAUAAAAACACAGCACUCUGCAAACACGAAAGUGGACGUAUAGGGUGUGACGCCUGCCCGGUGCUGGAAGAUUAAAUGAUGGGGUGCAAGCUCUUGAUUGAAGUCCCAGUAAACGGCGGCCGUAACUAUAACGGUCCUAAGGUAGCGAAAUUCCUUGUCGGGUAAGUUCCGACCCGCACGAAUGGCGUAACGAUGGCCACACUGUCUCCUCUCGGGACUCAGCGAAGUUGAAAUGUUUGUGAAGAUGCAAUCUCCCCGCGGCUAGACGGAAAGACCCCAUGAACCUUUACUGCAGCUUUACAUUGGACUUUGACAAGAUUUGUGUAGGAUAGGUGGGAGCCUGUGAAACGUGGUCGCCAGAUCGCGUGGAGGCAUCGUUGAAAUACCACCCUGAUGUUGUUGAGGUUCUAACCUAGGUCCGUAAUCCGGACUGGGGACCGUGUAUGGUAGGCAGUUUGACUGGGGCGGUCUCCUCCCAAAGAGUAACGGAGGAGUGCGAAGGUAACCUAGGUACGGUCGGAAAUCGUACUGAUAGUGCAAUGGCAUAAGGUUGCUUGACUGCGAGACGGACAGGUCGAGCAGGUGCGAAAGCAGGUCAUAGUGAUCCGGUGGUUCUGUAUGGAAGGGCCAUCGCUC